Anopheles gambiae str. PEST is the source of this 46-nucleotide non-coding RNA. The record is from Rfam. NCBI's taxonomy places the organism in Eukaryota, Metazoa, Arthropoda, Insecta, Diptera, Culicidae.
AAAAAGGUUUCAUUUGAAACCCAAAAAAGAUAAAAAAAUGUAAUGG